Molecule: unclassified non-coding RNA, 177 nt
Filed under: uncultured Sebacina
Lineage: Eukaryota; Fungi; Basidiomycota; Agaricomycetes; Sebacinales; Sebacinaceae
Description: sequence contains ITS1
Source: RNAcentral
AUGAUUGCGAAUGGUUGCCUUCAGUGCUGGCUCUCUUUCAAGAGCAAGUGCACGUUGGUGGCUUUCAUCCAACACACCCUUGUGAACCUUUGGCCUCUUGCUAGCUUUGGCUGGUAGAGGAUAUUUACACACACCCGAAUGUAAUGAAAACUAUUGUCGUGCGCAAGCACUAAUGUA